CAGUCGCCGCGGGAAUACGUAGGUGGCAAGCGUUGUCCGGAAUUAUUGGGCGUAAAGGGAGCGUAGGUGGAUGUUUAAGUCAGAGGUGAAAGCCCAGGGCUCAACCUUGGAACUGCCUUUGAUACUGGACAUCUUGAGUGUGGGAGAGGUAAGCGGAACUCCGAGUGUAGAGGUGAAAUUCGUAGAUAUUCGGAAGAACACCAGUGGCGAAGGCGGCUUACUGGCCCAUUACUGACGCUGAGGCUCGAAAGCGUGGGGAGCAAACAGGAUUAGAGACCCCGGUAGUCCCUGUCUCUUAUAU
Molecule: ribosomal RNA, 301 nt
Filed under: uncultured bacterium
Lineage: Bacteria
Description: partial 16S ribosomal RNA
Rfam family: Bacterial small subunit ribosomal RNA
Source: RNAcentral